This 579-nucleotide long non-coding RNA is filed under the name Homo sapiens (human). RNAcentral describes it as "non-protein coding EDRF1-AS1:37". Lineage: Eukaryota; Metazoa; Chordata; Mammalia; Primates; Hominidae. The record is from RNAcentral.
CAUUUUAAAAGUGCCCGGACUUUUGUUCUUUCUUAUCACAAAUGACUUGGGAAGCUCCGACCACUCAUGUUUACCCCGAGUGAAAGUCCCAUUCAAAGCCUUGCUUCCUGGAGAGCUUUGAGAUUCUGGUACAAAAGGCAUUUUAUAAGCACAAAGUGGAAAAGCAUCAUUCAUAUUCAUUUGCUGCUGCGGCAUUUCUCCCUGGAAUCUUCCUCUUGUCUGUCAACAUUGGGCAAAAGGACUGGCCUCAUCUACAUUACAGAUAUCCUUGUGAUGGUCUGGAGGGACCUGUGGGAGAGGCGGCCAUCCAGAGGGCUCUCUGAGGGGUCAUUUAGAAUGCAACUCUUCUGGGCAGAGGAUGGUCUGCACUGGCCUCCACCACGCAGGAAGGCUUCCAGAGUGGAGAAAUGUCCACUAACAUGGCUUCUGUGAGGUAUCAUUCUGAUCAUUGUUGUUACAGGAGAGAUGAGAGGAAGUUAGAGGGGCUAGAAGAACCAGGAGACCUGUUGAAAAUCAUGAAUACAAAGAGAGGUCGUUUGCUUCUGUGCUUCAAUUCUAUAAUAAAAUGAGUACAAUGUC